This 377-nucleotide long non-coding RNA is filed under the name Ananas comosus (pineapple). RNAcentral describes it as "long non-coding RNA (ACOM_LNC022205)". The record is from RNAcentral. Lineage: Eukaryota; Viridiplantae; Streptophyta; Magnoliopsida; Poales; Bromeliaceae.
AACUCCAGCUGGUAUACAUUUGCAUAAAUGCCCUCACAAAUCUCCAUUUUCCCCUUUUUCUUCCUUUUCAGGCUGUGGGAGAGGACGGCGACGGUGACGGCGGCAGCAGGGAGCUUGUCGGAGUUGCGGCCGACGAGGAUGAGGCUGAGGCCCGCAGCGACGAGGCGGAGGGCGAAGGUGCCGCCGAUUCGAAGAAAAAUGAGAAAAAUUAAGGAAGAUAAAGAGAAUGAGGAGGAAAAGAAGGAUACGAAGAAGAAGAAGAAGAACAAGAACAAGAAGAAAAAGAGAAAGAGGAAGAGGAAGAGGAAGAAGAUGAAGAGGAAGAGAAAGAGGAAGAAGAAGAAGGAUAAAAUUAUCAAUUUACUUUAUUAAUUAAC